Molecule: ribosomal RNA, 398 nt
Filed under: uncultured bacterium
Lineage: Bacteria
Description: partial 16S ribosomal RNA
Rfam family: Bacterial small subunit ribosomal RNA
Source: RNAcentral
AUACGUAGGGUGCGAGCGUUGUCCGGAAUUACUGGGCGUAAAGAGCUCGUAGGUGGUUUGUCGCGUCGUCUGUGAAAUUCCGGGGCUUAACUCCGGGCGUGCAGGCGAUACGGGCAUAACUUGAGUACUGUAGGGGAGACUGGAAUUCCUGGUGUAGCGGUGAAAUGCGCAGAUAUCAGGAGGAACACCGGUGGCGAAGGCGGGUCUCUGGGCAGUAACUGGCGCUGAGGAGCGAAAGCAUGGGUGGCGAACAGGAUUAGAUACCCUGGUAGUCCAUGCCGUAAACGGUGGGCGCUAGGUGUAGGGGCCUUCCACGACUUCUGUGCCGUAGCUAACGCAUUAAGCGCCCCGCCUGGGGAGUACGGCCGCAAGGCUAAAACUCAAAGGAAUUGACGGGG